CAGGUAUAUUACUGCUCAUUGCCCAGCAGAAGAGUUUAGAAAAGUAAAAGACAUCUCAAAAUCUUCAUGCUCACAAUCCUUCCCUUUCUCUUAAUCAUCAUAACAACAUGUUCUGUUCAACCAACUCUGUUGCAUUAAGACCUUGUUCCAACUUCCUCAGUUCUUUUUUGUUCUCAGUACCUUUUUGUUCUCUGUUUGAAAGUUGACCACUCUAGUCUGCAUUAUUCUUGUUAUCAGAGUAGAGGUGAGCUUGAGCUUUGGUUCGUUUGAAAAUUGUUCAUGUGCUCCUCACGCUUGUUUUUUCUGCUUGAAUAAACCGCUAUGAGUUGAGUAUUUUGCAGGACAUAGCUGAAGAAGUGGAAAAGAUACAGAAAGCCAUGGGGACAGGAAUAGAUGUGAGCUUUGAUUGUGCAGGCUUUAACAAAACCAUGUCAACAGCACUGGGCGCCACUUGUGCAGGUGGUAAAGUUUGCCUCGUGGGGAUGGGUCAUCAUGAAAUGACUGUCCCACUCACUCCAGCUGCUGUAAGGUACUUGAUUUACGGUUUUCUUUUCUUUUUUUUUUUCUUGUUUUGGGGUACUCCGUUAUUUACUUUAGGAAAAUGCUAUAUACCCUAGGUCAAACCCCAAAACUAAUUCAAGCGAUGUUGUUUGAUCUUUUUUUUUUUUCAUUCACCUUAAAACGACGCCGUUUUGUUUAGCUAACGUCAGCCUUAAUUGCUUUCUCUUCAUCUUCGUUUCAACGACAAAAUCGAUUUGGCUUAGACAAAACCGAUUUCAAGAAACAAAACCGAUUUGGCAAAACCUUUAAGCUUUGAUCUUCCUUCUAGGUGAUUGGAUUUGGCUUAGAUAAGGCAAAAAGGAAAUCUUGAACAAGGUGGCUGCCAGGCGUGAUGGACUGAUGGUGAUGCUAAUGACUAGGUAUGCGUUAUGGUGGCUACCGGUUGUGGAUCGCGAACGGCUGUGAAACGAAGGGGAAGAUAAAGCAGUUGUUUUACAGAGACAUGGAAGGCGAAUGGCUGAGAGACGAAGAGGAAGAGAAAGCAAUUUUGGGCCGACGUUGCUUUUGCCUUAACUAAGCCAAAACGACGUCAUUUUAGGGAGAAUGAAAGGCAAAAAAAAAAAAAAAAAAAAAAGAUGAAACAUUGUCGUUUGCAUUAGUUUUGGAGUUUAACUCGGGGUAAAUAGUAACGCUAUUUACUUUAAGUUUCUAGUUGGUUUCGGCAAAUUCACUUUAAGAUCACUUUUUUUUUUUUUGGAAAUCUGAGAAAAUUUGAAUUAGUGAAAUGUUUUUUUUAUCUGAAUUGCUAAAAAUAAAUUUUAAAUUAUUUUCCAAACCUAAAAAAAAAUAUAAAACUAAUAUUUUUACAUUUAUAUCCUUACAAAUUAUAAAUGUUAAACAAAUAAUAAACAUAUCAAAAAAUAUAAAUAAGAUAAUAUAUUAUUAUAACAUAAAUCAUAUUCAGUUGAAUACAACUCUUUAAUAUUUUAUAUUAAAUAUGUUAAUCUAAUUUAUUAUAGUUUAUGAUGUCUUUAUAUGAAAAAUAUUCAUAAAAAAAUAUGAAGAUAAAUAAUGUUAAUUUGAAAAAAAUAAAAAGAUGAAAAUAAUAAUAAUCUACCACUAUAUAUUAUCACAAGUUAUAUAGAGAUAAGUAAUAAUGCUAAUUAUUAAAUUUUGUUUAGGAAAUGAUGAAAAUUAAUUAGUGAGAUAUGAAUAUUUUGGAGAAUACCUUUUAAUGGUACCAUUAAAACUUUUUAUAUUAAGCAAAAAAGGUAAAAAAAAAUUAGUUCAAUAACUUAAUGACUUAAUAGCUGAAAUUUUUCAUUAAGUUGAAAAAACAAAUAGAUUUAAUGACUUAAUUGAUUAAAAUUAAGUCAAUUAAGUCAAGUCAAAAAAGCAAACGACCACUAAGUCUCUGAAAUGCCAAAAAAAAAAAAAAAAACACAAAACUCGUGGGAGGGGCAUUUCAUUAUUGGAUUGGGAACAAAUGGAUUUAAAAAAAAUGAGAGAAUAAAAAUUGAAUACAAUUACCAAAAAGAUCAUAAAGCCAUCAUUUUUAAGAAAAUGUAAAAUGGUAAACAAAAGUUGUUGAAUAAAAGUUGGAAUGUUCUAGAAUCAAUAGACUUGGAAGAAGAAUGUAAACAAAUUCUUGUGCUUGGGCUGUAUGUUAUCCAAUAGAACACGAUGGCAUGUCAAGAACAACCUCCACAAACCAUCUUGUAUAUUGUUUCUGUUUAAUGACUGUUUUUCCUUUCCUUUUCUCGAAACAUAUGUUUAAUGACUUCUUAAGCUGAAUAACCCGUUUCAGCUUUUAAUUGGACUAAAAUCCGUCUGAACCUUUUACCCUUAAAUUUAUGAGCAUAAUUGCGAACGCAGGGAAGUGGAUGUGGUGGGGGUGUUUCGCUACAAGAACACCUGGCCACUGUGUCUGGAGUUGCUUAGAAGCGGAAAGAUUGAUGUAAAGCCCCUUGUCACGCACAGGUUUGGUUUCUCCCAGAAAGAAGUGGAAGAGGCCUUUGAAACAAGUGCUCGUGGUGGUACUGCAAUCAAGGUCAUGUUUAAUCUGUAAGAUACAAUGUACUGCAAUCAAGGUCAUGUUUAAUCUGUACAAUACAACGGCCAUGUAAACGUUUGGGCAAACGAUUAAAUAAAAUGGAAUUGUCGCCGUGUAAUAUGAACCAAAGUUGAGCUUAUUACUUUAUUUCUCAUCACCUUGCAGCCGCCGGCGUCAGAGCAACCGUCAUCUCGCUCUUGGCUAAUCCUAUCAGGCAAACUUUGCCUCCUGGACAAGUGGCAUUCAAAGCCGUUGACAUGGUUUUGUCAAACCCAACACAAUCAAAGCUCACAUCAAUGCCUGAACCCAUUGCAUUUUGUAUCUUCCCCACUUCUGUAUCAACGUCCUGCCAAUGUUUUUGCACAGCUUCAAGGCCUAGAAAAAAUUGGGAAAGUGAAAACAGAGUGAUAAUCUUCUAUAUCUGACAAUUAACCUCGAUAUCUCUUGAGAAUUUAACUGUUUUAUCCGCGCAAAAAUUCCUCGCAAUAAAUAGACGCUGAACAUCAACAUCAGUGAUGACAAUUCUGGGGGCACCAAAUUCUCGAGCAGCUAACAGGGUAACAAGGCCUAUCGGUCCUCAUCUCAAGAUCAAUACAUUGGUUUCAGGUCCAACGUUUGCACAUUGCUCCUUCCUCCAAGCUCACAUUGUCAGGUAACUUGUAGCAUAACUUUGCUGGAUGCACAACCUAGUUGCAGGAAAAAGAAAAUGUCUCCGUUAUUUACAAUUCUUCUGUACAUAGACCGCAUGUGAAAUUAAAAAUUUAUAGUUUGGGAAGCUGAAGACAUCUGAUCAUUGACCUUAUGGGCAAGAGAGCCGUUGGUUGGAGGAGAUCCAAAGAAUCUCAUUUCAGGGCAAAGAUUAUAGCUACCAGCUUUGCAGAGACUGCAGUGUCCGCAACUAAUACCAGGUUCUAGAGCCACACGAUCACCCACCUCAAGGGACUUAACUUCACUGCCAACUGCUUCUAUGAUCACAGCACACUCAUGUCCAAUUACCAUAGGUUUUUUCACAAUAAAAUUAGCACAUCUCAUAGUCUGAUCAUAAACAACAUGUUGCAUAAAAUAAGCAGUGACAGCCUUUGGCAUAUCAUACAAUCAUCAAGAUUUUGCAUAGAGACAGACAGAAAGCUUUUUCACCUUGAAGUGAUGAACAUCACUUCCACAUAGGGAGAUUGCCAAUCUCCCCCCUACAGUAAUCAACAUAUACCAUUUUUCCCUCUGCUGUUUUUAUAAUGGCCACAAACCCCCAUAAUAGCAUAAGUUUACAAUAUUACACUUAUUUUCAACAACUCUUUUAUUUAUAUUUAUUAUAAAUUAAAUAAAUCAUAUGAAUAGAAACUAAAUAAAAAAUUAAGCAUUAAAAACAAGAAAUAUAUGUUUUGAUAUGAACAAAAAAAUUAAUAAUAAAUUUUUUUAUACUUAUUUAUUUUGUGAAAAUUUUCUUAUAAUAAAUAUAUAAGAAAAUUAUUAGUAAAAUGAUAAAAAAAUUAUUAUAAGAAAACUUGAAUGACAAAUAAAAAUUUAUUAUAAGAUAAAUAAUAAAAUAUUUUGCCUAUACUUUUUACAUUUAAUUUUAAAAUAUUAUAAAAUGUUUAUUAUAAGAAAAUGUUCACAAAAUAAAUAAUUACAAGAAAAAAUUUAUUAUUAAUUUUUUUGCUCAUAUCAAAACAUAUAUUUCUUGUUUUUAAUACUUAAUUUUUUUUAUUUAGUUUCUAUUCAUGUAAUUUAUUUAAUUUAUAAUAAAUGUAAAUAAAAGAAUUGUUAAAAAUAAAGGCAAUAUUAUAAACUUAUGUUGUCAGCUUGUCAAGGGAGUUUUUGACUAUUAUAAAAAUAAAAAGGAGAUAAAUGAUAUAUGUUAAUUAGUGUAGGGGAGAAAGUGACAAUCCCCCCUCUCCACAUAUUCCAAGAGCCUUAAUUCGUACUUUCACGUUUUGAGGACCUAAAAAUUACACAAAUUUUUUUUUUUUUUUUUUGGCAUGGCACGGCAUGACAAGUGAUCUGAUUAAAUUCACAGUUGUGCGUAUAGAAUAAACGAGAAGAAGAUAAAAAUAUAAUAUCUAGGGUAGGCAAAUGAUAUGGCUGAAUUUUCAGAGUUUUGAUUCCAAGCAGCCGUGUUCUGAUUCUCGUCUCCUUCGUUAUCUCUGAUUGCCUUAACUUCACCAUCACCACCCUUCGUUAUCUCUUUUUACACAGUGUUAUUGUGUCUCGUAUUAUCCCCUGGAAGUGAAGCUGACUAGAUCCUAGUUAAAAUUGCCUCCUUUUUCUUUUCUUUUUCCCAUCUCAUUUCCCUUGUGCCUGCCAAACAAACUUCUUAAUUAUUAUAGUCACCUUUUUGUACAGGUAUUCCCUUCCCUCCCAUUAUUAAUUUAUUUAAAUUAUAUGAAUUUUAAAAUAUUAUUUCAUGUGACCAUAUUCAUUAAAAGAAGUCAUGAAAAUCAAAUUAUUGGCUUUCUUUUAGUCCAUAGUACCGUACAAUUCUUUCAUACCAUUUUGCAAAAUUAGCCACCCCCCACAUACAUGUAGUUGAUUUUGAUUCCUUUAUGAAGAUACAAUUAUUGCACAGUUUGGAUUUUGGGGUCCAUAAAUUCUGAAAAAAACAAAAUUAACAAACAACCAACGGUUCUGAAACCGAUAAAUUCUCUCCACGUAAGCACGUUAUCCCUUUGAAAAGAGAAACCAUAAUCUCUAUUAGAUAGUGUACAGAGUGAAGUCUCUGCUGUGCACUUGUGUUUUUGAAGAGUGAAAAGCAAAUAUGGGCAAGGGAGGGAUGUCACAAGGAGAAAAGGAAGAUGGAGAAGAAGUUAACAUGGCAGCUUGGCUUAUGGGUGUCAACACCCUCAAGAUUCAGCCUUUGGAGCUUCCUUCUCUGGGUAUUUUUAUCUUUCUUUCAUCUCUGUCUUGUAUCUUAGAAGUGUUAUGGAGUUUGUUUAUUGGUUGAAGAUAUGAACUUUGUUAGAUUGAUAUAUAUCUAAAGAGAGAUCUUUGGUUGAAAAACAAUAAAAACACAUCUUCCAAUACAGCUUAUCUUAUACCUCUUACAAUUGAAUUAACUAUCACUCACAAUUAAUGUAUUUCAAACUGAUUGUUUUAACAUCUUUGUUAGUUAUUUGUAAACUGUAGGACCUUAUGAUGUUUUAGUCAGGAUGAAAGCCGUUGGUGUUUGUGGAAGUGAUGUGCAUUUUCUCAAGGUAUAUUUGUUUAUCCCUCUUCAACUUCCCUUAAUUUAUUAUUAUUAUUAUUAUGGCAAUUACUCUGUCAAAUUGCUGAGAAAUGUUAAUAACGGAAUAUUUUCACUUUAUGUUAUUCAAAAUAAUACUUGAAUGUUGAAUGUUUGUGUAUUUUUGCAGACCUUGAGGCUUGCCGAUUUUGUAGUGAAAGAGCCUAUGGUGAUCGGGCAUGAGUGUGCUGGGGUCAUAGAGAAGGUGGGAAGCGAGGUGAAGACUUUGGUGCCCGGUGACCGUGUGGCCCUGGAACCAGGGAUCAGCUGCUGGCAAUGUGAUUACUGCAAAGGAGGUCGAUACAAUUUGUGUCCAGAGUCGAAAGGUCUUGGAAGUCCGCCAGUUCAUGGUUGUCUGGCUAAUCAGGUUGAUUGAAAAUUUACAUUUUGAACUAAGUUCUAUAGGACUAUGAGAUGAGAAAUAUGGUAGACUGACUUUAACACAGUUUAUGCCCUUGUAAAUUUCAGUAAUGAUAUACUUACAACGGUUAGUAUAUACCAUCACUACAGAACAAAAAAAUUUCAUAACAAGAUAAAAGAAAAUUCCACUGUAAGACAAGUUUUUUUUUUCCCUUUCUCUUAGAGAUUUUGUACUAAUUACUAUACAUACAUUAUUAUUCUAUAAAUUUUACUGUUUGAGAUUUUUUCGUGUAUUAGAUUAUUGCUACAAUAUGAUCUAUGCCCUUGUGAAUUCUGUUGUUAAAUAGUGGUGUCACUUUACUUGUUUUUCCAAAAACAUACUGGUUACUGUCAAUUGUGUAGUUCCCAUUUGAUCUUCUGUUCCCUCUUGUCAUAUAUUUUUUAUCUGGCAAUGUUUGUUGAUUCCUUUUAUUUGAAAUGAAAUUGGCUGCUAUCAAAAUUGAUCAGCUGCUUGACAUAAUGACUAAGAUGCAUUUCUUCUCUAUAAUAGGUGGUGCAUCCUGCAGACCUAUGUUUUAAGCUGCCCGACAAUGUCAGCCUGGAGGAAGGGGCUAUGUGUGAGCCCUUGAGUGUUGGUGUUCAUGCCUGCCGCCGUGCCAAUAUCGGUCCUGAGACAAAUGUGCUUAUCAUGGGAUCAGGGCCCAUAGGACUUGUCACAAUGCUAGGAGCUCGUGCUUUUGGAGCUCCUAGAAUUGUCAUUGUGGAUGUGGAUGACUAUCGUUUAUCUGUUGCAAAGAAACUUGGUGCAGAUAAUAUUGUUAAAGUUUCAACAAAUUUGCAGGUAUAUUACUGCCCAUUGCCCAGCAGAAGAGUUUAGAAAAGUAAAAGACAUCUCAAAAUCUUCAUGCUCGCAAUCCUUCCCUUUCUCUUAAUCAUCAUAACAACAUGUUCUGUUCAACCAACUCUGUUGCAUUAAGACCUUGUUCCAACUUCCUCAGUUCUUUUUUGUUCUCAGUACCUUUUUGUUUUCUGUUUGAAAGUUGACCACUCUAAUCUGCAUUAUUCUUGUUAUCAGAGUAGAGGUGAGCUUGAGCUUUGGUUCGUUUGAAAAUUGUUCAUGUGCUCCUCACGCUUGUUUUUUCUGCUUGAAUAAACCGCUAUGAGUUGAGUAUUUUGCAGGACAUAGCUGAAGAAGUGGAAAAGAUACAGAAAGCCAUGGGGACAGGAAUAGAUGUGAGCUUUGAUUGUGCAGGCUUUAACAAAACCAUGUCAACAGCACUGAGUGCCACUCGUGCAGGUGGUAAAGUUUGCCUCGUGGGGAUGGGUCAUCGUGAAAUGACUGUCCCACUCACCCCAGCUGCUGCAAGGUACUUGAUUUACAGUUUUCUUUUUCAUUUUUUUUUAUUGUUUUGGGCUACUCCGUUAUUUACUUUAAGUUUUUAAUUGGUUUCAGCAAAUUCACC
RNAcentral lists this long non-coding RNA (7594 nucleotides) under Citrus x clementina. Its description in RNAcentral is "Citrus clementina (C. clementina) long non-coding RNA (CCLE_LNC000589)". Lineage: Eukaryota; Viridiplantae; Streptophyta; Magnoliopsida; Sapindales; Rutaceae. The record is from RNAcentral.